RNAcentral lists this ribosomal RNA (529 nucleotides) under uncultured Ohtaekwangia sp. Its description in RNAcentral is "bacterial SSU rRNA". It matches the Rfam family "Bacterial small subunit ribosomal RNA", at positions 381 to 911 of the family's 1533-position model. The record is from RNAcentral. Lineage: Bacteria; Pseudomonadati; Bacteroidota; Cytophagia; Cytophagales; Fulvivirgaceae.
GUCUGAACCAGCCAUGCCGCGUGCAGGAAGAAGGCCUUCUGGGUUGUAAACUGCUUUUGCCGGGGGAUAAAAUUCCCAUGCGUGGGACAUUGAAGGUACCCGGUGAAUAAGCCACGGCUAACUACGUGCCAGCAGCCGCGGUAAUACCUAAGUGGCAAGCGUUGUCCGGAUUUAUUGGGUUUAAAGGGUGCGUAGGCGGCCUAUUAAGUCAGUUCUGAAAUAUCCCGGCUUAACCGGGAGGGUGGGAUUGAUACUGAUGGGCUUGAGUGGAAUCGAGGUAGGCGGAAUUGACGGUGUAGCGGUGAAAUGCUUAGAUAUCGUCAAGAACACCGAUAGUGUAGACAGCUUACUAGACUUCAACUGACGCUGAGGCACGAAAGUGUGGGGAUCAAACAGGAUUAGAUACCCUGGUAGUCCACACUGUAAACGUUGAUUACUCGCUGUGUGCGAUAUACAGUACGCGGCUUAGCGAAAGCGAUAAGUAAUCCACCUGGGGAGUACGCCGGCAACGGGUGAAACUCAAGGAAUU